This 371-nucleotide ribosomal RNA is filed under the name uncultured bacterium. RNAcentral describes it as "bacterial SSU rRNA". It matches the Rfam family "Bacterial small subunit ribosomal RNA", at positions 527 to 896 of the family's 1533-position model. The record is from RNAcentral.
GUAGGGUGCGAGCGUUAAUCGGAAUUACUGGGCGUAAAGCGUGCGUAGGCGGUUGGCAAAGUCAGCUGUGAAAGCCCCGGGCUUAACCUGGGAAUGGCGGUUGAAACUAGUCGACUAGAAUCUGGCAGAGGGGGGUGGAAUUCCACGUGUAGCAGUGAAAUGCGUAGAGAUGUGGAGGAACACCGAUGGCGAAGGCAGCCCCCUGGGCUGAGAUUGACGCUCAGGCACGAAAGCGUGGGGAGCAAACAGGAUUAGAUACCCUGGUAGUCCACGCCCUAAACGAAGUUAACUAUAGGUGUGGGGAGCGCAAGUUCUCAGUACCGCAGCUAACGCGUGAAGUUGACCGCCUGGGGAGUACGGUCGCAAGAUUA